GAUGAACGCUGGCGGCGUGCCUAAUACAUGCAAGUCGAGCGAACAGACGAGGAGCUUGCUCCUCUGACGUUGGCGGCGGACGGGUGAGUAACACGUGGAUAACCUACCUAUAAGACUGGGAUAACUUCGGGAAACCGGAGCUAAUACCGGAUAAUAUAUUGAACCGCAUGGUUCAAUAGUGAAAGACGGUUUUGCUGUCACUUAUAGAUGGAUCCGCGCCGCAUUAGCUAGUUGGUAAGGUAACGGCUUACCAAGGCAACGAUGCGUAGCCGACCUGAGAGGGCGAUCGGCCACACUGGAACUGAGACACGGUCCAGACUCCUACGGGAGGCAGCAGUAGGGAAUCUUCCGCAAUGGGCGAAAGCCUGACGGAGCAACGCCGCGUGAGUGAUGAAGGUCUUCGGAUCGUAAAACUCUGUUAUUAGGGAAGAACAAAUGUGUAAGUAACUAUGCACGUCUUGACGGUACCUAAUCAGAAAGCCACGGCUAACUACGUG
This 497-nucleotide ribosomal RNA is filed under the name uncultured bacterium. Its description in RNAcentral is "partial 16S ribosomal RNA". It matches the Rfam family "Bacterial small subunit ribosomal RNA", at positions 28 to 507 of the family's 1533-position model. The record is from RNAcentral.